Cryptotermes secundus is the source of this 819-nucleotide long non-coding RNA. RefSeq lists it as uncharacterized. NCBI's taxonomy places the organism in Eukaryota, Metazoa, Arthropoda, Insecta, Blattodea, Kalotermitidae. The transcript has 2 exons. The record is from RefSeq and is a predicted model, not a curated record.
CAAUAUUUUUAUAUUGACGAUACUUGAAAAAAUGGCAUUCAUUUGCAAAAUACAAUGAUGAAGACAGAUAACUCCAUAAAAAUUUUAAAUCGAAAAAAGCUUCUCCAGUUCUGUAGUAUUGCUCUGUAAUCUCUCAAUUCAAUUAAUUGCUUUUUGUACUGCCCUGGAUCUCUGUCGAGCCCAAAAGCUUAUCUCGAUUCACUGUUAGCUGUUCAAGACGUUCCGUUUCAGUUACAUCUGCUUAUAUAAUUAUAUACAAACACAAGUCUAUAUAUAAAGAACAUAUAGUGUACAUAUAAGCUCCACUUGCAGUUUCUCAGACAUACACUACAAACUGAGGAAUAUGCUUAUGAUUUACGUGUAUUUUUCCCCAGAUUGUCGUUGCUGUGUUCAGUUUUGCAUAUGUCGUACUCUUGUCAGCGAAUCAUGGUUCUGGUCUUUGGAUUGGGCAUCUACCAAUUUGUCCUCGCAUUCCGUGCAUAACUUCCUCUUGCGGUGUGAAAAACGCCUCCGACUGCCACACCGGCGAGCAGUACGUACCUGUACAUAGCAGAGGAUGGUGUGGCUGCUGCUUUGCAAACUGCUGUGGUGCUUGCGUUCAAACCGUCGGUAUUGGAGACAACUGCACAGCGGUUUACAACGGCACGAACGGACGUUACGAAGUGUGUCCCGGUGGCUCGGAGUGCAACCGUGACAGCAGCAAGUGUGUAAGGACAAACUCCACCACACCGAUACUUCCGUAAGGAAACGCAUUGUACUGAGCUCCUGUACUGAAUGUAGCAGUGUAAUUAAACAUUGAAGAUACUCGUACUACCGUCA